This 65-nucleotide transfer RNA is filed under the name Spongiobothrium variabile. RNAcentral's name for it is "tRNA-Phe". It matches the Rfam family "tRNA". Rfam says of the family: Transfer RNA (tRNA) molecules are approximately 80 nucleotides in length. The record is from RNAcentral. Lineage: Eukaryota; Metazoa; Platyhelminthes; Cestoda; Rhinebothriidea; Rhinebothriidae. RNAcentral also lists the same sequence under 1 other name.
UUUCCUUUAGCUUAAGAUUAAAGCGUUAGUUUGAAGCACUGAAGUUAACAAUUUGUUAGGGGAAA